ACCGGGCUAUCGCAAUCCUGGUAGCGGUGACCAGUUGCUUCACAAUUCCAGCACACUAAAUUAAGGGCGGCUAUUCCCAUUUCUUCGUCAUCCGAUACCUCGGUUUCUGUUUCACACUCUACCUGACAUUGAACUGCAUUGACAGAUCGGCGCGGCAUCGGCACUGGACGAGAUUUUGGUAAAGCGUGAUUUCCUACUGUUUGUAGGAAGAUCUCUCGAGUUCUGACAAAAUGCCGAAGUUUUGAUAUGCUGAGUAUUUCCUCAUAUAGGAGUUCAUGCUGAAUAUCCAGGCGCAAAUUAGGCCUAAGCGACUCUAAGAGAGAAGAUUCCGACAUGGGAAUAGAGAGCUUAUCCGCAAGAGAAAUGAUUGACUCGUAGAACUCGUCAAAACUUUCUCCAUCUUUUUGUUUGCGUCUAUCGAUGCUCGCUCUUAUCUGUAGGUCGGUUCGUUCGUCCUUGAAUUGACUUUUAAGAGCUUGGCAAAGGCCCUCCCAUUGUACCAUAGGUACACUUUUGUGGUACCGCCAAAACCAUUCGCUUGCGGUUCCUUCAAAAAGGUUGCUGGCAUACCGCGCAAGCAAUUCGAAAUUGCCCUGCAGCGUUUGGGAUGUCAAUGCCUCGACCCGAUAGAUAAAGUCGUCGACGCCUAAAACAGAUUUACCAGAAAAUCGAAGUUUCCAAUUAAAAAUAAUUUGGCUAAUUCGAUCUGGGCGCAAGUCCGAACCAAUAGGAGUAUUUCUAUUUUCCGGCGGUAGACCAUGACCAUUCGAUGGAAACAAGGUAGCAGAAUUUUGAUGGCUGGGAACUCCAGGAUCAGUUUGCUGCCUAAAAGUUGGUGGUGGAGUUGGAUUGGAGCAUUGAACAUACCCAGUAGGAGAUAAUCUCUCGAACCCUGUCUGUAAGGCUUGGAUUAUCAAAUCGGUCUGUCGAGCUGUGGCUUGUGCCAGUAACUCCGACUGACGGGUCGCGGCGGCAGCCAUAGCAUGUGCAAUUAAUUGCUGAAAGUUCUCGUUUGUUGGUGUAUUUACACAGGAGGGUGUAACGCUGUCGUCAGCCAUUAUAUGAGCUGAAGCAGUUGUGUCUCUUUUGGAUUGUGCCCGAGUAGUGGUCCCUGAUCCCGUCGGUUUUUCCGCGGAAGGUUCCUCUAGGUUUCGUUUGCAGGUUGGGCACACUUUCUUAUUUUUAAUCUUUGUAUUAAAACAUACACUGUGAAAAGUGUGUCCACAACUAACUCUUAAUGCCUCCGAUUCAUGGACCACCGGACCGGUACAAAUANAAUUGCUGAAAGUUCUCGUUUGUUGGUGUAUUUACACAGGAGGGUGUAACGCUGUCGUCAGCCAUUAUAUGAGCUGAAGCAGUUGUGUCUCUUUUGGAUUGUGCCCGAGUAGUGGUCCCUGAUCCCGUCGGUUUUUCCGCGGAAGGUUCCUCUAGGUUUCGUUUGCAGGUUGGGCACACUUUCUUAUUUUUAAUCUUUGCAUUAAAACAUACACUGUGAAAAGUGUGUCCACAACUAACUCUUAAUGCCUCCGAUUCAUGGACCACCGGACCGGUACAAAUAAAGCAGGUGACAGCUGAUUUUUUUGCUACAGCGAUCUCCUCACUCUCUCCUAUCGAAAUCAUUUGAUAUACAAUUUUUUUUUUUUUUUCAAAGACAAAAACUUUAAAUAAUUACACAAAAAAAAUUUUAAGAAAAAUUCAAAGCGGCAAAAUUAAAUGAAGGUAAUCUAGUUUUGGGGUCGAUGCGAACGUUCUUCGAGAAUACGUAGGUAAUCCAACCGAUUACUAGUGCUGAUGCAAAGGAUGCUAAGAGAAAGACAGAGGCGUUGGUAUUUGUGCGGACGAUAAUAGCUUAGCGCCAGUUUAUCGUAUCCAGCGACUAUCUACCAACUAUAGGAAACGAACAAGGUAAAUUCAUGCGAAAUGUAUCUAAGCAACGGAAAAAAAGCUAUUUUGAAGCUUUUAUUAAUCCAGUACGCCUAACAAAUGCAUGCUUUUGGGAUGCUAAUUGACUUCAGAUAGGGCUGUGUAUUUAUAUUGAAAUUUACAACAGAUCCACAAUCUGUGCACGAGCAUUUACGGGAAGAAAUUAACAACGAAAUUAAAUAAACCGAAAUGUUCAAUAGUCUGCUGGUCUGACUUUAAGAAAUAAGGGACGGGGCCAUCGAAAUUCGGGCCCCACGUUGGGCGCCAAAUAAUUUUAUGUAUUUAUAUUUACUGUAGUAUGCAACGUUAUUGAGCUGGUGGAAGGUGAUGAGCUUCUACGGGGCACGCGCUUGUUCCGGUAUCGUUAUCAGUCGGGAGAUGGGGGGGGGUUAAGGGAAGGAUCCGCUGCUCUAUCCGCUCGUCUAUAUACAUAAAGUUAUUAAAAUUCGCGUGCGAUGAACAAGUCGGUUUAUGAAACAAUAGUGAAAAGAAACAGACAGAACAGAGACAAAACUCCUAGCUUCCAGACCUUUAUUUUGUGGCGCAAGAUGGAAAUGUGGCCACGAAUGCCCUCCCUUCCAUGAUCGCUAUAAUCCGAUAAAGUUAUACGGCGAUCCCAAAAAAAAGGUCUAUGCCGCAAUACCUCUGCCUACGUUCCCUACACGACGCAUGACCCCCUCAAGUUAAGCGCAGUUAGCAGGAGUUCAUAUUAACGCUUAUAGCUAAAUUUAUUCAACAUCGCAAAACACAUCCAAAAGUAUCGAUUUUACACUAGAUUUCGAAACAACUUAUGUCGAUUUACCCAAAUAAAAAAAAAGGAAAAUAAUAUA
This 2753-nucleotide long non-coding RNA is filed under the name Drosophila guanche. The record is from RNAcentral. Lineage: Eukaryota; Metazoa; Arthropoda; Insecta; Diptera; Drosophilidae.